Molecule: transfer RNA, 74 nt
Filed under: Caudoviricetes sp.
Lineage: Duplodnaviria; Heunggongvirae; Uroviricota; Caudoviricetes
Description: tRNA-Lys
Rfam family: tRNA
About the family: Transfer RNA (tRNA) molecules are approximately 80 nucleotides in length. Their secondary structure includes four short double-helical elements and three loops (D, anti-codon, and T loops).
Source: RNAcentral
AGGGGUUUAGCUCAGUUGGUUAGAGCACACGAAUUUUAAUCGUGAGGUUGGGGGUUCGAAUCCCCCAAUCCCUG